Non-coding RNA from Salmo salar (Atlantic salmon), 54 nucleotides. The record is from Rfam. Lineage: Eukaryota; Metazoa; Chordata; Actinopteri; Salmoniformes; Salmonidae.
AGUAUUCACUACUGUAAGUCGCUCUGGAUAAGAGCGUCUGCUAAAUGACAAAAA